GACGAACGCUGGCGGCGUGCUUAACACAUGCAAGUCGAACGGAAAGGCCCUGCUUUUGUGGGGUGCUCGAGUGGCGAACGGGUGAGUAACACGUGAGUAACCUGCCCUUGACUUUGGGAUAACUUCAGGAUACUGGGGCUAAUACCGGAUAGGAGCUCCUGCUGCAUGGUGGGGGUUGGAAAGUUUCGGCGGUUGGGGAUGGACUCGCGGCUUAUCAGCUUGUUGGUGGGGUAGUGGCUUACCAAGGCUUUGACGGGUAGCCGGCCUGAGAGGGUGACCGGCCACAUUGGGACUGAGAUACGGCCCAGACUCCUACGGGAGGCAGCAGUGGGGAAUAUUGCACAAUGGGCGGAAGCCUGAUGCAGCAACGCCGCGUGCGGGAUGACGGCCUUCGGGUUGUAAACCGCUUUCGCCUGUGACGAAGCGUGAGUGACGGUAAUGGGUAAAGAAGCACCGGCUAACUACGUG
This 468-nucleotide ribosomal RNA is filed under the name uncultured bacterium. RNAcentral describes it as "partial 16S ribosomal RNA". It matches the Rfam family "Bacterial small subunit ribosomal RNA", at positions 28 to 507 of the family's 1533-position model. The record is from RNAcentral.